UUGAACGCUGGCGGCAGGCCUAACACAUGCAAGUCGAGCGGAUGAAGGGAGCUUGCUCCUGGCUUCAGCGGCGGACGGGUGCGUAAUGCCUAGGAAUCUGCCUGGUAGUGGGGGAUAACGUCCGGAAACGGGCGCUAAUACCGCAUACGUCCUGAGGGAGAAAGUGGGGGAUCUUCGGACCUCACGCUAUCAGAUGAGCCUAGGUCGGAUUAGCUAGUUGGUGGGGUAAAGGCCUACCAAGGCGACGAUCCGUAACUGGUCUGAGAGGAUGAUCAGUCACACUGGAACUGAGACACGGUCCAGACUCCUACGGGAGGCAGCAGUGGGGAAUAUUGGACAAUGGGCGAAAGCCUGAUCCAGCCAUGCCGCGUGUGUGAAGAAGGUCUUCGGAUUGUAAAGCACUUUAAGUUGGGAGGAAGGGCAGUAAGUUAAUACCUUGCUGUUUUGACGUUACCAACAGAAUAAGCACCGGCUAACUUCGUG
This 483-nucleotide ribosomal RNA is filed under the name uncultured bacterium. Its description in RNAcentral is "partial 16S ribosomal RNA". It matches the Rfam family "Bacterial small subunit ribosomal RNA", at positions 30 to 507 of the family's 1533-position model. The record is from RNAcentral.